Molecule: ribosomal RNA, 2904 nt
Filed under: Klebsiella pneumoniae
Lineage: Bacteria; Pseudomonadati; Pseudomonadota; Gammaproteobacteria; Enterobacterales; Enterobacteriaceae
Description: 23S ribosomal RNA
Rfam family: Bacterial large subunit ribosomal RNA
Source: RNAcentral
GGUUAAGCGACUAAGCGUACACGGUGGAUGCCCUGGCAGUCAGAGGCGAUGAAGGACGUGCUAAUCUGCGAAAAGCGUCGGUAAGGUGAUAUGAACCGUUAUAACCGGCGAUGUCCGAAUGGGGAAACCCAGUGCAAUUCGUUGCACUAUCGUUAACUGAAUACAUAGGUUAACGAGGCGAACCGGGGGAACUGAAACAUCUAAGUACCCCGAGGAAAAGAAAUCAACCGAGAUUCCCCCAGUAGCGGCGAGCGAACGGGGAGCAGCCCAGAGUCUGAAUCAGCUUGUGUGUUAGUGGAACGGUCUGGAAAGUCCGACGGUACAGGGUGAUAGUCCCGUACACCAAAAUGCACAGGCUGUGAACUCGAAGAGUAGGGCGGGACACGUGGUAUCCUGUCUGAAUAUGGGGGGACCAUCCUCCAAGGCUAAAUACUCCUGACUGACCGAUAGUGAACCAGUACCGUGAGGGAAAGGCGAAAAGAACCCCGGCGAGGGGAGUGAAAAAGAACCUGAAACCGUGUACGUACAAGCAGUGGGAGCACCUUCGGGUGUGACUGCGUACCUUUUGUAUAAUGGGUCAGCGACUUAUAUUCUGUAGCAAGGUUAACCGUAUAGGGGAGCCGCAGGGAAACCGAGUCUUAACUGGGCGUUAAGUUGCAGGGUAUAGACCCGAAACCCGGUGAUCUAGCCAUGGGCAGGUUGAAGGUUGGGUAACACUAACUGGAGGACCGAACCGACUAAUGUUGAAAAAUUAGCGGAUGACUUGUGGCUGGGGGUGAAAGGCCAAUCAAACCGGGAGAUAGCUGGUUCUCCCCGAAAGCUAUUUAGGUAGCGCCUCGUGAACUCAUCUUCGGGGGUAGAGCACUGUUUCGGCUAGGGGGUCAUCCCGACUUACCAACCCGAUGCAAACUACGAAUACCGAAGAAUGUUAUCACGGGAGACACACGGCGGGUGCUAACGUCCGUCGUGAAGAGGGAAACAACCCAGACCGCCAGCUAAGGUCCCAAAGUCAUGGUUAAGUGGGAAACGAUGUGGGAAGGCACAGACAGCCAGGAUGUUGGCUUAGAAGCAGCCAUCAUUUAAAGAAAGCGUAAUAGCUCACUGGUCGAGUCGGCCUGCGCGGAAGAUGUAACGGGGCUAAACCAUGCACCGAAGCUGCGGCAGCGACACUAUGUGUUGUUGGGUAGGGGAGCGUUCUGUAAGCCUGCGAAGGUGUGCUGUGAGGCAUGCUGGAGGUAUCAGAAGUGCGAAUGCUGACAUAAGUAACGAUAAAGCGGGUGAAAAGCCCGCUCGCCGGAAGACCAAGGGUUCCUGUCCAACGUUAAUCGGGGCAGGGUGAGUCGACCCCUAAGGCGAGGCCGAAAGGCGUAGUCGAUGGGAAACAGGUUAAUAUUCCUGUACUUGGUGUUACUGCGAAGGGGGGGGACGGAGAAGGCUAUGUUAGCCGGGCGACGGUUGUCCCGGUUUAAGCAUGUAGGCUGGUUAUCCAGGCAAAUCCGGAUAAUCAAGGCUGAGGUGUGAUGACGAGGCACUACGGUGCUGAAGUAACAAAUGCCCUGCUUCCAGGAAAAGCCUCUAAGCAUCAGGUAACAUCAAAUCGUACCCCAAACCGACACAGGUGGUCAGGUAGAGAAUACCAAGGCGCUUGAGAGAACUCGGGUGAAGGAACUAGGCAAAAUGGUGCCGUAACUUCGGGAGAAGGCACGCUGGUGUGUAGGUGAAGCCCCUGCGGGUGGAGCUGAGACCAGUCGAAGAUACCAGCUGGCUGCAACUGUUUAUUAAAAACACAGCACUGUGCAAACACGAAAGUGGACGUAUACGGUGUGACGCCUGCCCGGUGCCGGAAGGUUAAUUGAUGGGGUUAUCCGUAAGGAGAAGCUCUUGAUCGAAGCCCCGGUAAACGGCGGCCGUAACUAUAACGGUCCUAAGGUAGCGAAAUUCCUUGUCGGGUAAGUUCCGACCUGCACGAAUGGCGUAAUGAUGGCCAGGCUGUCUCCACCCGAGACUCAGUGAAAUUGAACUCGCUGUGAAGAUGCAGUGUACCCGCGGCAAGACGGAAAGACCCCGUGAACCUUUACUAUAGCUUGACACUGAACAUUGAGCCUUGAUGUGUAGGAUAGGUGGGAGGCUUUGAAGCGUGGACGCCAGUCUGCGUGGAGCCAACCUUGAAAUACCACCCUUUAAUGUUUGAUGUUCUAACGUUGGCCCCUGACCGGGGUUGCGGACAGUGUCUGGUGGGUAGUUUGACUGGGGCGGUCUCCUCCCAAAGCGUAACGGAGGAGCACGAAGGUUAGCUAAUCCUGGUCGGACAUCAGGAGGUUAGUGCAAUGGCAUAAGCUAGCUUGACUGCGAGCGUGACGGCGCGAGCAGGUGCGAAAGCAGGUCAUAGUGAUCCGGUGGUUCUGAAUGGAAGGGCCAUCGCUCAACGGAUAAAAGGUACUCCGGGGAUAACAGGCUGAUACCGCCCAAGAGUUCAUAUCGACGGCGGUGUUUGGCACCUCGAUGUCGGCUCAUCACAUCCUGGGGCUGAAGUAGGUCCCAAGGGUAUGGCUGUUCGCCAUUUAAAGUGGUACGCGAGCUGGGUUUAGAACGUCGUGAGACAGUUCGGUCCCUAUCUGCCGUGGGCGCUGGAGAAUUGAGGGGGGCUGCUCCUAGUACGAGAGGACCGGAGUGGACGCAUCACUGGUGUUCGGGUUGUCAUGCCAAUGGCACUGCCCGGUAGCUAAAUGCGGAAGAGAUAAGUGCUGAAAGCAUCUAAGCACGAAACUUGCCCCGAGAUGAGUUCUCCCUGAGACUUUAAGUCUCCUGAAGGAACGUUGAAGACGACGACGUUGAUAGGCCGGGUGUGUAAGCGCAGCGAUGCGUUGAGCUAACCGGUACUAAUGAACCGUGAGGCUUAACCUU